GAUGAAGAACGUAGCGAAAUGCGAUAAGUAAUGUGAAUUGCAGAAUUCAGUGAAUCAUCGAAUCUUUGAACGCACAUUGCGCCCCUUGGUAUUCCGAGGGGCAUGCCUGUUCGAGCGUCAUUAUAACCCCUCAAGCUUAGCUUGGUGUUGGGGCCUGCUGUAAUAGAGCAGCCCUUAAAAUCAGUGGCGGUGCCAUUAGGCUCUAAGCGUAGUAAUUCUUCUCGCUAUAGGGUUCUGGUGGAUGCUUGCCAUUAACCUCUAAUUUUCUAUGGUUGACCUCGGAUCAGGUAGGGAUACCCGCUGAACUUAAGCAUAUCAAUAGCGGAGGA
Molecule: unclassified non-coding RNA, 329 nt
Filed under: soil metagenome
Description: partial contains 5.8S ribosomal RNA, internal transcribed spacer 2, and large subunit ribosomal RNA
Rfam family: 5.8S ribosomal RNA (bases 1-120)
Source: RNAcentral